UCCCAUGGGAGGCAGCACUGGGGAAUUUUGGACAAUGGGGGCAAACCUGAUCCACCCAUUCCGCGUGAGUGAAGAAGACCUUCGGGUUGUAAAACUCUUUUGGCAGGGAAGAAAUGGUUUUGGCUAUUAUCCAGGGGUAUUGACGGUGCCCGAAGAAAAAACACCGGGUAAAUUUGUGCCCCCACCCCCGGUAAAAUGUAGGGGGCGAGCGUUAUUUUGAAUUUUUGGGGGUAAAAAGUGCGCAGGGGGUUUUGUAAAACAGAUGUGAAAUCCCCCGGGUUUACCCCGGAAAUGCGCUUGUGACUGCACGACUCGAGUGCGGCAGAGGGGGGGGGAAUUUUCCGUGUAGCAGUGAAAUGUGUAGAGAUAUGGAGGAACACCGAUGGGGAAGGCGGCCCCCUGGGUCGAUACUGACACUCUUGCACGAAAGCGUGGGGGGCGAACACGAUUAGAUACCCUGGUUUGUCCACCCGGUUCUAAAGGGAGUAGGUCCCGGGGGGAGCACCCCCCUCAUAGGGCCCCUCUGAGACUCAGCAGAAUCUGAACUCCAUAUCGA
RNAcentral lists this ribosomal RNA (556 nucleotides) under uncultured bacterium. RNAcentral describes it as "partial 16S ribosomal RNA". It matches the Rfam family "Bacterial small subunit ribosomal RNA", at positions 337 to 875 of the family's 1533-position model. The record is from RNAcentral.